AGCACAUCCUAUCUAAAUAGACGGGAUCCUGUAAUUCGAAUGAAUUACUGUUUCUCCUGUUCUGUCUCUUUGCGGAGAGUGUUCAUCUUUACUUCUUGCAAGUUGUUUGAGGACUAAAACCAACUUUUUGAUAAUUAUUCCCAAACUAUUGCUGGCCUCCAUAAAGAACAAAAACGAACAACCAACCUCACCUGAGAGGACUUACACCACUCCUCCAAAAUGCAGAAGCUUCUGUAGUCACUGCUACUCACUGUGCAAAAAUAUUUUCCAUGUAUAAGGAAAAGCCCAGCCCUCAGCUCUUCUCACUCUGCAUUCACCCCUAGCCGUCUUCACCAUAAUCUAGGUUUCAUCAUGUGCCCAGCCCCAGUGGGACCCUCUGCUCGGCCUGCAUAACCAGGAAGCCAGCUGCCGUGUUAUUAGGUUACUUGGGGAGCCUGCAGAGAGGCUCACACGGUGAAGAACUGAAGUGUCCUGCCAGUUGCAGCAAGGAACUGAAGCCUGUCAACAACCACUUAGGUGAAUUUAGGAAAGAAUCCUCCCCAGCUGAGUGUUCAGAUGAGACUGCAGACCUGUCGAACAACUCACAGGCAACCUCAUGAGAGUCUGUGCAUAAGAACCACCCAACUAAACCGCUCCCAGAUGCCUGGCUCACAGGGCGGAAACUGUUGUUUCAAGGUGCUCCAUUUGGGUGUAACUUGUGAUGCAGCAAUAGAUAACAAAAAUCAAGCCCUGAGAUUUUUUCCCAAGUACUAAGCACUUCUCCUACCUUGGUCCACUCAGGUUGUUCCCACUGAGGGAAGAACAAUUCUCCUUAGCCUUCCAUACACAUUUGGGUCAAUACACUAAUUCCCCCUCUCUGGCUGGGGAGUAAGCUAUGUAGCUAAUUCACAAAUAUUUUCCCUUGACAUAUGUAUGUGGUUUCAGACAGUGCAUUUUUCAAAAGCCAAGACUGUCUCUCUUCCCUUUGUGCUAUCAUUUUUAUAUUCCCUUUAGCUUUUGGGCUCUUUCUCUCACAAUAAGUCAAUAGAAGCCAGAGAAUUUCAAGAGUUUGACUUCUCUCCUGGGCAGAAUAUUUAAGUCAUACAUUAUUGUUUGUUUUCAGGCAAACCCGUACAAUUAUGCAACAUAAAUUCUUUUAAAGCAUCUGGGACUUCAAUUCAAUUUAAAAUCCUGUGGGGUUUAUUACCAGAAUGAAUGAUUAUAAAAUAUAUGCAUGCAAAUGAAGAGAUAAAAAAAUUAAAGAGCAUAUGAAAUUUAAUGCACACUACUUGUAAUUCCAGGCCAAAUUGUUGCAAAAGACAGUGGCUAUACAAUACCAUGUAAAAAUGUGGUUUAUAAUAAUUUAUGACUUGAGAAUGUGGUUUUAAUAUUCUACUGUCAUGACUAUAUAUUAGAAUCCAGAGUAGAGAAUUAGUUUCUGGUGUUAAUAGGAGGGGGAAGGGAAGACAGGUUUACCCAAAGCUGUCAUCAGUUUUACUGUAAAAAUAAGGAACCUGACUUCACCCCAAUGGUACAGCAUAGUGAAAAGCUUGUAAAGAUGGAGGCACUCUGUUUUCCAGUGUUUUUAUUCUCAGAGUUCAUCUGGGGACAAUCUAAUUCAAUUACUAUUUGUUAAGUGUCAAAAAUGUGAAAAUAAAUAUAUUUGAGACUCUCGGGGAGUAAGAAUGGACGGAAUCAAGAUUAAGCCUUAAUACCUAACCUUGUAGACCACAUGAUCCAGAGAGACAGGCAAGUAUAUGCAUAAAGAAUCCAAACCAGAAUUGUGUGAACUCUUGCAGCAACCAAAUAACAGAUUCCCAUGCCCAGACCCAGACUCCUGUUCUGAUCCAUCUUCCAACCACUGCCUGAGUUAGUCACCCAAAAUAAAAAUUCACAUGUUUC
This is a long non-coding RNA of Enhydra lutris kenyoni (northern sea otter), 1881 nucleotides long. RefSeq lists it as uncharacterized. The record is from RefSeq and is a predicted model, not a curated record. The transcript is spliced from 4 exons. Lineage: Eukaryota; Metazoa; Chordata; Mammalia; Carnivora; Mustelidae.